RNAcentral lists this ribosomal RNA (400 nucleotides) under uncultured Diversispora. RNAcentral's name for it is "SSU rRNA". It matches the Rfam family "Eukaryotic small subunit ribosomal RNA", at positions 569 to 974 of the family's 1831-position model. Lineage: Eukaryota; Fungi; Glomeromycota; Glomeromycetes; Diversisporales; Diversisporaceae. The record is from RNAcentral.
AGCAGCCGCGGUAAUUCCAGCUCCAAUAGCGUAUAUUAAAGUUGUUGCAGUUAAAAAGCUCGUAGUUGAACUUCGGGGUCUACCCAUUGGUCAGGCUUAAUUGUCUGUACUGGUGAGAUGGAUCUCUACCUUCUGAGGAACUUUCAUGCCAUUUAUUUGGUGUGGUUGGAAAUCAGGACUGUUACUUUGAAAAAAUUAGAGUGUUUAAAGCAGACUAUCGUCUGAAUACAUUAGCAUGGAAUAAUGAAAUAGGACGGACUGAUUCUAUUUCGUUGGUUCUAGGAUCACCGUAAUGAUUAAUAGGGAUAGUUGGGGGCAUUAGUAUUCAAUUGUCAGAGGUGAAAUUCUGGAUUUAUGAAGACUAACUGCUGCGAAAGCAUUUGCCAAGGAUGUUUUCAUU